UACGUAGGGUGCAAGCGUUAAUCGGAAUUACUGGGCGUAAAGCGUGCGCAGGCGGUUGUGCAAGACCGAUGUGAAAUCCCCGGGCUUAACCUGGGAAUGGCAUUGGUGACUGCACGGCUAGAGUGUGUCAGAGGGGGGCAGAAUUCCACGUGUAGCAGUGAAAUGCGUAGAGAUGUGGAGGAAUACCGAUGGCGAAGGCAGCCCCCUGGGAUAACACUGACGCUCAUGCACGAAAGCGUGGGGAGCAAACAGG
This 253-nucleotide ribosomal RNA is filed under the name uncultured bacterium. Its description in RNAcentral is "partial 16S ribosomal RNA". It matches the Rfam family "Bacterial small subunit ribosomal RNA", at positions 524 to 776 of the family's 1533-position model. The record is from RNAcentral.